This 172-nucleotide transfer RNA is filed under the name Pseudomonadota bacterium. RNAcentral's name for it is "tRNA-Ser". The record is from RNAcentral. RNAcentral also lists the same sequence under 1 other name. Lineage: Bacteria; Pseudomonadati; Pseudomonadota.
GCCGGAGUGGCGGAACCAGGUAACGCGCGUGGCUCGAGACCACGUGUCCCUUGUGGACUUGCAGGUUCGAAGCGAUUUUCACAUUUUAUGAAAUUAUCAAAAAUGAAAAAUUAUAAACGAAUUUAAUAAAAUAGAAUCUUGUGUGAAAAUCGCAAAAAUCCUGCCUCCGGCG